Rattus norvegicus (Norway rat) is the source of this 160-nucleotide small nuclear RNA. Ensembl annotates it as U4 spliceosomal RNA. Lineage: Eukaryota; Metazoa; Chordata; Mammalia; Rodentia; Muridae. The record is from Ensembl.
AGCUUUGCGCAGUGGCAGUAUCGUAGCCAAUGAGGUUUAUCCGAGGCGCGAUUAUUGCUAAAAAAAUGUUUAUGUGGGGCGGGAUUCACGUGCCACCUCAUGCAGAGCAGAGAACAACCAGUUUUUUUUUUUUAAUCCCACCAUCUGUCGGGUCCUAAAA